UGCGACUCACGUACACAGCACAACAUGAAAAAAAACAAAAACUUUGGGUUUGGGCGGACAUAUUUAGUGAGGGCAAAACUGAAACAACGAUGGCGGGUCCCGGAUAAGGAAAUUGUGUGGGACUUUAGAGCCUGGAAGGGUUGAUAUGACAGCACCAUGGCUGAGAAGAUGAAGACCCUGCUGCAGAAUUUAGACCACUUCAUAGAGGUUCUUGCUUUAUCUCAAAGUGUCCAUACCAAAGAUUGGGAUAUCCUGCAUGUACAAGGAGCACUUGAAUGGGGAACCUAUUUUCAACACGUGCACCAUCGCUUUAAGACUAAUAAUGAUCUUAGAAACGUAAUAGAAGCUCGUCUUAUAGCAAAACAUCAGGAGCUUUCCUGUUACUUGAAGACUUGCCAUCAUGUUACUUUCGAUGACCUCAGUAAAGGUUGUAAUAUUCUGUGUAUGUCUCUUCUCCAGAACAAGGCUCUUCCUGAUCCUGUGUUCAAAUACUUAACUGAGCAGCUCCGAAACUCCGAUCCCAAGGUUGCUAGGUCUACAUGUGUGUCCCAUAUUAUAUCCCAGAAAGUGACAUCAGAACUACUCCUCUCACUUCCUUUAUUGACAUCCAAAGUAAUGGAUCCAUUGGACAACCCUGUACUGAUGGCUGAAGCUGAACUAGUGAAAAGCCGUCUAGAAGGAAGACUGAGGGUGUCAGAAGAUGGCCAGAGAUUGGCUACUGUGUCAGAUUUUCUUGGACGGGUUCCCAAACCACAUAUCUACCACCUCAUAGAAGUUAUACUUCUAUCUAAUGGUGAUAUAGACUCGGAAGACCAAAACCUGAUAUCGGAUGUUCUUCUGGAUUGGCUUCUGUCAGAUAAUGACUUCUUUGUUGGUUUUUUCUUGACAGUAACCUGCCAGGUCUUGGCAAGAUUGAGCUUCACGUCGCCCAAGUUUAGAAAUGUCUACGUGGAUCAUUUGGUUCAGUUAGGAAGUAGUAUGGAACAAGACCUGACCUGUGGGAAGUGGAUUAGUGACAAAUAUAACCUAUCUUUUGAUGGACUGUUGAAUCAUUAUAGGCAUCUUAUGAAAGGUCCCAAAGAUGUGAAACACUCUAUAGUGACUAAACUUCAGACCUUAAGAAGUAAGGAUGGGAACUUUGAUGUGCCUGGUAUAAGUGUAUGGACUGAUAUAUUGGCUGAAAUACAUAAAAAGUAACACUGGUGUUGGGACAGAUUUGCCUGAAAAUACAUAAUUAAUUGUGAUGUCAUAUUUUAUAUGUAAUAUUGAGAUAUUUGUGUUUCCAUAAUUUAUUUCUAUGUGACACCUUUUUUUUUUUUUUUAAAAGAGGUUGACCACUUUAUAAAAAUAUUUCCUAAAGGGCCCAAAACUGUUUGUUGUGGUUCAUAAAUCUGUAAAUGAUCCUUCUACUUUACUUCGGCUGCUCAUGUGUGGACUAUGUGAACACUACAGAACUGAGGUUUCCCUGUCUAUAGGAAACAAGAUGGUGGUGGUCAUGUGAUUUACCCAUGUGACAGCUUUCUUGGCUGUACCUGACUACUUUUUUAGUGCAAGAGAUGAGUAGCAAUUACACACAUCCAAAUCAUGUAUUAAUAAUACAAUUAAAGAAGCAAAUAGCAGUCUGGCAAUGCAAGUAACAAGAGUCCUGCAGUCAGUGGGAUGUAUACAGCACGUGUCACUGUCCGCAUAAGAAUAUAAACCUCAGAGGUGCUCUCAUCCAGAAUCAACAGGAAUAGUAAGUACAAAAAGCAUCAGGAAAGUAUAAGGAUAAUGCACUCACCGCUGGCUUUAUGAAGUAGUUCAGACUUUAUUCUCGUUCAUCUUAUAUAUCUUCAAUCCACGAGACAGGUACACAGGGAGCAGUGGGUGAUACAGGUGAGGCAGGGGCGGCAAGAAGUUUCGCGCACAACGGUGCUUCCUCUGGCCCGAAACGGGCCAGAGGAAGCGUCGUUGUGUGCAAAACUUGUUGAGCUGAUUUGGUUGCUAUGGGCAACUCUGCAACGCUUCCUCUGGAAAGGUUUUUAUAAAUCUCCGCCAUUGUGUAUUUAAUAUACCUGCUGUACUUCAAUAAUGUAAAAAAAAAUGCUUUUAUUCUCUGGCGCCAAGUGCUGGAACGCCUCCUCACUCUCCCUGCUUGCUUGACAGUCUGCUGGAAACUGAGCCCUGUUUACAAAUCUAACAUCUGUGCACAAUGUAUAUACACAGAGCAGGAACAAGAUUUGUAAACAAGGCUCUGUGCUGGAAGCUGAGCCCUGACUGUCAAUAAAGCAGGGGCAGGGGGAGCAAGGAGUACCCCUUUAAGUCCUUAGCACUUUCGGGAUUUGGGAAUGACUCUGACACUUUCCAGAGAAUAAAAGUGUUUUUCUAUGUUAUGGAAGCACAUUCAGAUAUAUAAGAGGUACCAUGUGUCUCUUUGUCAUAAGUUUAUCUAAUAUUAUUCAAACACAGAGAAAUCCUUAUGUAAGCACUACAAGUCUCAGGGUAGCAUGACUCUAUUUAACAUGGUACAGAUGUGCAAUGUAGCAAACUAGCACGGCAUCUAGUAACAAAUGGCUGUUGUUAGUGAAACCAAACAAUGGUGAUCUCUCAAUGCUUGCAGGUAAAAACAUACCGAAAGAAAAGAUGUAUAGACGGCACUCACCACUGUGCUCCUAUUGAGCUUCUUUUAUUAUUUCAUGAGGGAAGGGAGAACAAGGUGCAGGCACAAUCCACUGAAACAGGCUCUGGCUGUUUCACAAUGUCUGUGUAUGUGGCCUGUCCGAGCUAUCUAUUAGUGCCAGAAGUGUGAAACGUGAAUUUCAGCUGACAGAUUUCCUUUAAUAUGAUGUAAUAUAUGUAGUCAAGACGUAUAAAAAAAUUGAUGCUGAAUUUUUUUCCCCUUCUCACCAUUUGUGACCCCCUGAAAGCUGCUAUGUCUCACCCACUGAUAAUAAAAAGUAUAAAUUGUUGAUUGAUCUAUUUUUACACAGCAACAUAGACAGGUAAAUUGGAUCAUUGUUAUUCAUUUAGUUUUAUUUGUUAUUUAAAUGAGCCCUAUCAAACUUUGCAUAGA
Molecule: RNA transcript, 3052 nt
Organism: Hyla sarda
Lineage: Eukaryota; Metazoa; Chordata; Amphibia; Anura; Hylidae
Gene: FANCF
Gene name: FA complementation group F
Exons: 3
Source: RefSeq, a predicted model, not a curated record